This 71-nucleotide transfer RNA is filed under the name Corynebacterium casei. RNAcentral's name for it is "tRNA-Val-GAC". It matches the Rfam family "tRNA". From Rfam's summary of the family: Transfer RNA (tRNA) molecules are approximately 80 nucleotides in length. Their secondary structure includes four short double-helical elements and three loops (D, anti-codon, and T loops). Lineage: Bacteria; Bacillati; Actinomycetota; Actinomycetes; Mycobacteriales; Corynebacteriaceae. The record is from RNAcentral.
GCGCGAUUAGCUCAGUGGUAGAGCACUACCUCGACACGGUAGGGGUCACUGGUUCAAUCCCAGUAUCGCGC